This 758-nucleotide small RNA is filed under the name Pongo abelii (Sumatran orangutan). RNAcentral's name for it is "processed transcript". Lineage: Eukaryota; Metazoa; Chordata; Mammalia; Primates; Hominidae. The record is from RNAcentral.
CCCGACUUGCUGGCAGAACUUACGCUGCGGCACCCCGGGCACUGUUGCUGCUGCGGUAGGCAGAUGUGAUUCUCCUUGUCACGUGCUCUAUCAGGGAGAAGGCUGAGCAGACCAUCUGGAACCGUUUACAUCAGCUUAAAGCCUUGAAGACAAGGCGGCCCCGCUCCCGGGUUCCUCUGAGGAUUGGAAUUCUAGGCUGCAUGGCUGAGAGGUUGAAGGAGGAGAUUCUCAACAGAGAGAAAAUGGUAGAUAUUUUGGCUGGUCCUGAUGCCUACCGGGACCUUCCCCGGCUGCUGGCUGUUGCUGAGUCGGGCCAGCAAGCUGCCAACGUGCUGCUCUCUCUGGACGAGACCUAUGCUGAUGUCAUGCCAGUCCAGACAAGCGCCAGUGCCACGUCUGCCUUUGUGUCGAUCAUGCGAGGCUGUGACAACAUGUGUAGCUACUGCAUUGUUCCUUUCACCCGGGGCAGGGAGAGGAGUCGGCCUAUUGCCUCCAUUCUAGAGGAAGUGAAGAAGCUUUCUGAGCAGGGGCUGAAAGAAGUCACACUUCUUGGUCAGAAUGUUAAUAGUUUUCGGGACAAUUCAGAGGUCCAGUUCAACAAUGCAGUGCCUACCAAUCUCAGCCGUGGCUUUACCACCAACUAUAAAACCAAGCAAGGAGGACUUCGUUUUGCUCAUCUUCUGGAUCAGGUCUCCAGAGUAGAUCCUGAAAUGAGGAUCCGUUUUACCUCUCCCCAUCCCAAGGAUUUUCCCGAUGAG